AUCCAGCUGACGAGUCUUGAAUAGGAUAAAAUGCGCGUUCUGGAU
Schistosoma rodhaini is the source of this 45-nucleotide non-coding RNA. The record is from Rfam. Lineage: Eukaryota; Metazoa; Platyhelminthes; Trematoda; Strigeidida; Schistosomatidae.